This is a non-coding RNA of Pelobates cultripes (western spadefoot toad), 542 nucleotides long. The record is from the annotation of a GenBank genome assembly. Lineage: Eukaryota; Metazoa; Chordata; Amphibia; Anura; Pelobatidae.
GGUAAAUAAAAUUAUAGAUCAGGUUGAUGCAGUAGACACUGCUUAUCUAGAUUUCAGUAAGGCUUUUGACACUGUUGCAUCAAUAAACUGCAAUCUUUAAGUUUGGAUUCCAAUAUUGUUGAAUGGGUAAGGCAGUGGCUGAGUGACAGGCAACAGAGUGUUGUAGUUAAUGGAAUAUAUUCAAAGAUUGGACUUGUCACCGGUGGGGUACCUCAGGGAUCUGUACUUGGACCAUUCUCUUUAAUAUUUUUAUUAGUGAUAUUGCAGAAGGUCUUGAUGGUAAGGUAUGUCUUUUUGCUGAUUGUGACAGAACCAUCUGUCUGUCUAUUGUGGUGGAUUCGUCUAUUUCUGCCCUCUUUCGUGUAAAUGGCUGUUUCUAUAGCCCAGCCAUACGAAUGACUGUUUUCACCGAACAAAUCUACCGAACGGAUGGCCACCCAGGAUAAGAAGUGUGCUGCUGGUUAACCUCUUGAUCCCAAUUAGAACGUUGUGGUUAACCGCAGACCCUUCUCAAUUAAACCGAAUUCAGGGUGGCCGUCGUU